RNAcentral lists this ribosomal RNA (774 nucleotides) under uncultured Neocallimastigales. RNAcentral's name for it is "partial large subunit ribosomal RNA". It matches the Rfam family "Eukaryotic large subunit ribosomal RNA", at positions 24 to 642 of the family's 3401-position model. The record is from RNAcentral. Lineage: Eukaryota; Fungi; Neocallimastigomycota; Neocallimastigomycetes; Neocallimastigales.
UAUCUCUGUAGAGUCUGCAUAUCAAUAAGCGGAGGAAAAGAAACUAACAAGGAUUCCCCUAGUAACGGCGAGUGAAGCGGGAAGAGCUCAAAUUUGAAAUCUUCAAGGUUUGACCUUGACGAAUUGUAGUUUAAAGAAGUGUUUUCGGUUAGAGGAGUAGUAAAAGUUCUUUGGAAUAGGACAUCAUAGAGGGUGAGAAUCCCGUAUUUGACUAUUCUUUCUAGCUUUGUGAUACACUUUCAAAGAGUCGGAUUGUUUGGGAAUGCAGUCCAAAAUGGGUGGUAAAUUUCAUCUAAAGCUAAAUAUUGGCGAGAGACCGAUAGCGAACAAGUACCGUGAGGGAAAGAUGAAAAGAACUUUGAAAAGAGAGUUAAACAGUACGUGAAAUUGUCAAAAGGGAAGCGUUUGACACCAGUGUUGUUUUUCCGAAAAUCAAUUAAAAAUUGAUUCAUGCCAGGUUGUAUUGACCUUAUCAGCUUGCAAUUUGGUUUUGGGUCUCUUUUUGAUGCACUUUUCGGUUAACAAGUCAACAUCAAUUUCCUUUGCCGUAAAAAGGUAAGAGGAAGGUGGCUUCAAUUUCGGUUGAAGUGUUUAUAGCCUUUUAUCUCUGCAGUCGGGGAGAUUGAGGUCUGCAGCGUAGAUCCUUCGGGGCUAGAUACAUUUAUGCUAAGUUAUAGCUUUUCAUAGACAACUUGUUGACUAUGUUUAGUCAUGUAGCUUACUCGUAAGUGCUAUUUUACCUACGCUUAGGAUGUUGAAGACUCUACAGAGAUA